GCCUCGAUGGCGGAAUUGGUAGACGCGCUGGAUUCAAAAUCCAGUUUCUGCAAGGAAGUGCGGGUUCGAUUCCCGCUCGAGGUA
RNAcentral lists this transfer RNA (84 nucleotides) under Lutibacter sp. RNAcentral describes it as "tRNA-Leu". It matches the Rfam family "tRNA". From Rfam's summary of the family: Transfer RNA (tRNA) molecules are approximately 80 nucleotides in length. Their secondary structure includes four short double-helical elements and three loops (D, anti-codon, and T loops). The record is from RNAcentral. Lineage: Bacteria; Pseudomonadati; Bacteroidota; Flavobacteriia; Flavobacteriales; Flavobacteriaceae.